UUGAAGGCUGAAAUUCGCCUUCAUGAAGCUGGAAUUGCUAGUAAUGGCAGGUCAGCAUACUGCCGUGAAUACGUUCCCGGGCCUUGUACACACCGCCCGUCACACCAUGAGAGUUGGGAAUACCCGAAGCCUGUGAGCUAACUUAUAGAGGCAGCAGUCGAAGGUAGAAUCAAUGAUUGGGGUGAAGUCGUAACAAGGUAUC
This 202-nucleotide ribosomal RNA is filed under the name uncultured bacterium. RNAcentral's name for it is "partial 16S ribosomal RNA". It matches the Rfam family "Bacterial small subunit ribosomal RNA", at positions 1298 to 1500 of the family's 1533-position model. The record is from RNAcentral.